Molecule: ribosomal RNA, 492 nt
Filed under: uncultured bacterium
Lineage: Bacteria
Description: partial 16S ribosomal RNA
Rfam family: Bacterial small subunit ribosomal RNA
Source: RNAcentral
AGUGAACGCUGGCGGUAGGCCUAACACAUGCAAGUCGAACGGCAGCACAGUAAGAGCUUGCUCUUACGGGUGGCGAGUGGCGGACGGGUGAGGAAUACAUCGGAAUCUACUUUUUCGUGGGGGAUAACGUAGGGAAACUUACGCUAAUACCGCAUACGACCUACGGGUGAAAGCAGGGGAUCUUCGGACCUUGCGCGAUUGAAUGAGCCGAUGUCGGAUUAGCUAGUUGGCGGGGUAAAGGCCCACCAAGGCGACGAUCCGUAGCUGGCCUGAGAGGAGGAUAGGCCACACUGGAACUGAGACAGGGUCCAGACUCCUACGGGAGGCAGCAGUGGGGAAUAUUGGACAAUGGGCGCAAGCCUGAUCCAGCCAGACCGCGUGGGUGAAGAAGGCCUUCGGGUUGUAAAGCCCUUUUGUUGGGAAAGAAAAGCAGCAGGUUAAUACCCCGCUGUUCUGACGGUACCCAAAGAAUAAGCACCGGCUAACUUCGUG